This 189-nucleotide non-coding RNA is filed under the name Leptotrichia hofstadii F0254. RNAcentral describes it as "Archaeal large subunit ribosomal RNA". It matches the Rfam family "Bacterial large subunit ribosomal RNA", at positions 53 to 263 of the family's 2925-position model. Lineage: Bacteria; Fusobacteriati; Fusobacteriota; Fusobacteriia; Fusobacteriales; Leptotrichiaceae. The record is from Rfam by way of RNAcentral.
AGGACGUGAUAAGCUGCGAUAAGCCGGGAGGAGAUGCACAUAAUCGUUAAUCCCCGGAUUUCCGAAUGGGAAAACCUGCAUGCCUGGAGGGCAUGCGUGAAAACGGUAAGCCCGCGAACUGAAACAUCUAAGUAGCGGGAGGAAAGGAAAGUAAAAACGAUUCCCUGAGUAGCGGCGAGCGAACGGGGA